Molecule: ribosomal RNA, 443 nt
Filed under: Streptomyces hydrogenans
Lineage: Bacteria; Bacillati; Actinomycetota; Actinomycetes; Kitasatosporales; Streptomycetaceae
Description: bacterial SSU rRNA
Rfam family: Bacterial small subunit ribosomal RNA
Source: RNAcentral
AGAGUUUGGACAUGGCUCAGGACGAACGCUGGCGGCGUGCUUAACACAUGCAAGUCGAACGAUGAACCGCUUUCGGGCGGGGAUUAGUGGCGAACGGGUGAGUAACACGUGGGCAAUCUGCCCUGCACUCUGGGACAAGCCCUGGAAACGGGGUCUAAUACCGGAUAUGACCGUCUGCCGCAUGGUGGAUGGUGUAAAGCUCCGGCGGUGCAGGAUGAGCCCGCGGCCUAUCAGCUUGUUGGUGAGGUAGUGGCUCACCAAGGCGACGACGGGUAGCCGGCCUGAGAGGGCGACCGGCCACACUGGGACUGAGACACGGCCCAGACUCCUACGGGAGGCAGCAGUGGGGAAUAUUGCACAAUGGGCGAAAGCCUGAUGCAGCGACGCCGCGUGAGGGAUGACGGCCUUCGGGUUGUAAACCUCUUUCAGCAGGGAAGAAGCGA